Molecule: transfer RNA, 76 nt
Filed under: Clostridiales bacterium
Lineage: Bacteria; Bacillati; Bacillota; Clostridia; Eubacteriales
Description: tRNA-Ala
Rfam family: tRNA
About the family: Transfer RNA (tRNA) molecules are approximately 80 nucleotides in length. Their secondary structure includes four short double-helical elements and three loops (D, anti-codon, and T loops).
Source: RNAcentral
GGGGGUAUAGCUCAGUUGGUAGAGCGCUUGAAUGGCAUUCAAGAGGUCAGGAGUUCGAGCCUCCUUAUCUCCACCA